Molecule: long non-coding RNA, 1892 nt
Filed under: Homo sapiens (human)
Lineage: Eukaryota; Metazoa; Chordata; Mammalia; Primates; Hominidae
Description: HSALNT0342374
Source: RNAcentral
AUAACUAGCCCUGCCCCUGCCCCUGCCCCUGCCCCUGCCCCUGCCCCUGCCUCUGCCUCUGCCUCUCCCUCUCCCCUCUCCCCUCUCCCUCUCGGUCUCCCUCUCCCUCUCUUUCCACGGUCUCCCUCUGAUGCCGAGCCGAAGCUGGACUGUACUGCCUCUGCCUCUGCCUCUCCCUCUCCCCUCUCCCCUCUCCCCUCUCCUCUCGGUCUCCCUCUCCCUCUCUUUCCACGGUCUCCCUCUGAUGCUGAGCCGAAGCUGGACUGUACUGCUGCCAUCUCGGCUCACUGCAACCUCCCUGCCUGAUUCUCCUGCCUCAGCCUGCCGAGUGCCUGCAAUUGCAGGCGCGCGCCACCACGCCUGACUGGUUUUCAUACUUUUUUGGUGGAGACGGGGUUUCGCUGUGUUGGCCGGGCUGGUCUCCAGCUCCUAACCGCGAGUGAUCCGCCAGCCUUGGCCUCCCGAGGUGCCGGGAUUGCAGACGGAGUCUGGUUCACUCAGUGCUCAAUGGUGCCCAGGCUGGAGUGCAGUGGCGUGAUCUCAGCUCGCUACAACCUCCAUCUCCCAGCCGCCUGCCUUGGCCUCCCAAAGUGCCAAGAUUGCAGCCUCUGCCCGGCCACCACCCCGUCUGGGAAGUAAGGAGCGUCUCUGCCUGGCUGCCCAUCGUCUGGGACGUGAGGAGCCCCUCUGCCUGGCUGCCCAGUCUGGAAAGUGAGGAGCGUCUCUGCCCGGCCGCCAUCCCAUCUAGGAAGUGAGGAGCGCCUCUUCCCGGCAGCCAUCCCAUCUGGGAAGUGAGGAGCGUCUCUGCCCGGCCGCCCAUCGUCUGAGAUGUGGGGAGCGCCUCUGCCCCGCCGCCCCGUCUGGGAUGUGAGGAGCGUCUCUGCCCAGCCGCCCCGUCUGAGAAGUGAGGAGACCCUCCGCCCAGCAUCCGCCCCAUCUGAGAAGUGAGGAGCCCCUCCGCCCGGCAGCCGCCCCGUCUGAGAAGUGAGGAGUCCCUCUGCCCGGCAGCCACCCCGUCUGGGAAGUGAGGAGCGUCUCCGCCCGGCAGCCGCCCCGUCCGGGAGGGAGGUGGGGGGGUCAGCCCCCCGCCCGGCCAGCCGCCCCGUCCGGGAGGGAGGUGGGGGGGUCAGCCCCCAGCCCGGCCAGCCGCCCUGUCCGGGAGGUGAGGGGCGCCUCUGCCCAGCUGCCCCUACUGGGAAGUGAGGAGCCCCUCUGCCCAGCCAGCCGCCCCGUCCGGGAGGGAGGUGGGGGGGUCAGCCCCCCGCCUGGCCAGCCGCCCCGUCCGGGAGGUGAGGGGCGCCUCUGCCCGGCCACCCCUACUGGGAAGUGAGGAGCCCCUCUGCCCAGCCACCACCUCGUCUGGGAGGUGUACCCAACAGCUCAUUGAGAACGGGCCGGGAUGACAAUGGCGGUUUUGUGGAAUAGAAAGGGGGGAAAGGUGGGGAAAAGAUUGAGAAAUCGGAUGGUUGCCGUGUCUGUGUAGAAAGAAGUAGACAUGGGAGACUUUUCAUUUUGUUCUGUACUAAGAUAAAUUCUUCUGCCUUGGGAUCCUGUUGAUCUGUGACCUUACCCCCAACCCUGUGCUCUCUGAAACAUGUGCUGUGUCCACUCAGGGUUAAAUGGAUUAAGGGCGGUGCAAGAUGUGCUUUGUUAAACAGAUGCUUGAAGGCAGCAUGCUCGUUAAGAAUCAUCACCACUCCCUAAUCUCAAGUACCCAGGGACACAAACACUGCGGAAGGCCGCAGGGUCCUCUGCCUAGGAAAACCAGAGACCUUUGUUCACUUGUUUAUCUGCCAACCUUCCCUCCACUAUUGUCCUAUGACCCUGCCAAAUCCCCCUCUGCGAGAAACACCCAAGAAUGAUCAAUAAAAAAAAUAAAAAUUAAAAAAAAA